GCAGGUAUGCGUCGCGAAUGUACUCGAUGACGCUAGCCGGAUUGGCU
RNAcentral lists this small RNA (47 nucleotides) under Sinorhizobium meliloti 2011. RNAcentral's name for it is "putative ncRNA". The record is from RNAcentral. Lineage: Bacteria; Pseudomonadati; Pseudomonadota; Alphaproteobacteria; Hyphomicrobiales; Rhizobiaceae.